Molecule: long non-coding RNA, 307 nt
Organism: Neopelma chrysocephalum (saffron-crested tyrant-manakin)
Lineage: Eukaryota; Metazoa; Chordata; Aves; Passeriformes; Pipridae
Exons: 3
Source: RefSeq, a predicted model, not a curated record
AUUGCCUUGGAGAAAGUCCUCGAGUCCUAGGGUCAUAAAGCCAUGGAAUCCUCGAGUCCUAUGGCCAUGGAAUCCUAGAGUUGCAGAAUCCUAGGAAACCCCAGAUUCCGGCGCUCAUUUUUGACUUAGGGAUGAUGCUGAGACAUCAGGUUCCUGAGAAUGUUCUCCACUUCAUGAAUUGUCUCGAGUGUUUCAGGAGAAGGUCCCAUACAAGAGCAACUGAAUGCAUCAACAAUACCUUUGUCCAUUUCUGAUCCAAGAUCCCUCAGCCCAUUCCUGAGGAAAGGCAAUGGAUAUUUGAUUGCAC